Molecule: long non-coding RNA, 4554 nt
Filed under: Homo sapiens (human)
Lineage: Eukaryota; Metazoa; Chordata; Mammalia; Primates; Hominidae
Description: HSALNT0154283
Source: RNAcentral
CAGGGAGUGCAGGAACACCCCCAAACUGUGCACAAAUUGAGCAUGUUUGUGCAUUCUUCAGGGGAGAGGGGCCGUGGGCUUUCCUCCGGUUUUCAGAAGUCCACGGCCCCCUAAGGUUGAGAACUCCCUCUUCAAUCAUAACUGAUGUUUUUUUAGUUGCAUACUUGGUACCAUGCAGACCCUGUCUUUAUUUACAUUUUAGAUAUUUUGUUCAUUGUGGGGUUUUGCAUUAAUUUUGAUACUUUUAAAAAUAUUUUAAAAGUAAAAAAUUAAAAUAUUAUUUUGAUUACUUAGGGGUUUGGGGCACUGCUUUGGGCAAUUUACCUCCGUUGCUGAGUUUUCUUGGCAUCUCCUGGUAUGCUGCAUCUCUGCAUGUGCCACACCCUAGUCCAGACCCUGACCCACACAGUGCUGGGGUUUAAGGGAGGCCUGCUUUUUUCUCUCCAUUUACAGAUGGGAAAGCUGACAUAAACGGGUAGGUGGUAGAGGUGGGAUUUGAACCCAGGUAACCUAACUCCAAACUUCUGCAUCUUGUCAUAAGGAUCCAAAUCUUAGGCUUUAAGGGGUUCUGUGCAGAUCCUCAGCAGCCUCCCCAGCUUCAGAUCCGGCCUCCUGAGCUCCAGUCUCUCUGAUACCUGCACCCAGGCUCAGGUGCAGGCCAGAGCUCACCUGACUCUGGUGAGCUGCUCUGCCCUACACCGGGAUUGCAGCACACAUCACAUGGCGCUGUCAUUGUCAGAUCCAUCUCUGUGUCCCCACACCCAGCCUGACACAUGGAGCCUGGGAUACAAUAGAUGCUCAAACCGUUGGGACUAACAAUUUGUACCUGGCCUUCGUGAGACCCCUGGAGGGAACUGCCACUGGCGCUGGUUUCGUAGCAAGAAUAUACCUCAAAUGACCAAACAGGAAUGAAAAACUUCAGAUGGUUUAGGUGCCAGUGGCUUCCGAAUAAAACAGCAUUCUUGAAGUGAACAGCUGAUGAGGACAUGAAAUAUUAUGCCAAAGCUGGCAUCACACUGUUCUUUUUCCUGGAUGAAAAUCUCUCUGAGAAGCAUUUGCUCUUAACUUUGGUGUCCUGGGGACUGCUGCCUUAUCCCAGGAAGCCACCCAGAGUCUUGGAUGUGUGGGAUCCUUAGGACUUCAUGGUAAACCUGCUCUAGUCCCUCGGGUUAGUAAAAUGAAGCCCAGGACAUCUGAGAGCCCCCAGCACUUCCAUAGAAAUGGACCAAAAUCCCUUCUCCCAGGGGGAGAAACCUGGAAUAAGCUCAAGAGGACAGACGGCUAAAUUUUCAAGAAUCGUGUGAGCUGCUGUUAAACAAGCCAUUAUUAAAACUUUAAUUGUGUAAACUUACAAUUAGGUCAGUUAUAUUAAAAGUAAAAGUGAUACAUACCCCAAACUCAUCUCUUUCAAGUUAUUUUACUAUAUUUUACUGUUUUCUAUAGGCUUGAAGUUAUUUACAUCUACUGUAAGUGUGGGGGUGGAAAUUCAAUAUAAUGACACGCUACCAAGCACCUCUUCUCAACUUGGUGUUUAGUGACCUCACCAAGGUAGCUUCAAACAGGCUGUGAUGGGAGUAUUUACACCUCAGAAAUUAGCAAAUGCUAUUAAUUAGGGCUCUUUUCCCCCCAGAGACCCUGGUAUUAAGCAUUUAUUAGCACCUGGGCACAGUGGCUCACGCCUGUAAUCCCAGCACUUUGGGAGGCCGAGGCAGGCGGAUCACCUGAGGUCGGGAGUUUGAGACCAGCCUGACCAACAUGGAGAAACCCCGUCUCUACCAAAAAUACAAAAUUAGCCAGGCAUACUGGCGCAUGCCUGUAGUCCCAGCUACUCGGGAGGCUGAGGCCGGAGAAUCGCUUGAACCUGGGAGGCGAAGGUUGCGGUGAGUUAAGAUUGAGCCAUUGCACUCUAGCCUGGGCAACAAGAGCGAAACUCCUUCUAAAAACAUUUAUUAGCUCACACUUCCAUCUCUUACCUAGGCCAGUACUGUGGACAAUUCAGAAGCAGCUCCCUCCCUCCUUCUCCACUGGAUCUACAGUCGAAUCCCUUGAGCAUAGACCCAGAUCUUGCUCAAUUUGGGGUCAUGAUUUGGUGCCGUGGCCUCCUCAAAACUUCCUUCUUCCACAGCAUCACACAUUCCAGCUACACUCAGCUCCUUGCAGUUUCUUAAAUAAAAUACAGGUUUUCCCAUUCCUCUGGUGCUUUGCAUAUUAAUUUCCUUCUUUGGCUAGGGUAGGGGGGAUGUUUUUUCUCUCCUUUUCUAGAUUUUUAUUCUGCAAGAGUCAGAAAGUAUCUCCUCUGGGGAACCUUUCUUAAAUCCCCCACACCUGCCUCAUCCCACCCCACUGCAGGCUGCAUAUAGCAGUGUGUUGGUAAAUAUUUAACAGCCAACUUUCUGAAAAGGGAGGGAAAAAGUCCUUAUUUUUAGCAUCUGCCAAUUUCCAUGGUGUAAAGAUGCCCAUCGUGGCCAAUUUUGAGCUGACAACAUGCAGUCUUUGAGAGUAAAUUUGGGAAGAGGCGUGCCAGCUGGUCUGGGCCAAUUCCAGCACAUCACUGACUGGAUCAGAUGUCUUUUCUGUCUCACAGCAGCCACACCCCCAUACAGCCCUCAUAAUACAGUGCCAUGCCAAGCCAUGUUGGAGCCUGAAGCAAAAGGAAAAAUUAAUAACACUGAUCCUGUCUUCAUUUAAAAGUUUGAUCUCGGCUGGGCGCGGUGGCUCAUGCCUAUAAUCCCAGCACUUUGGGAGGCUGAGCGGGGUGGAUAACCUGAGGUCAGGAGUUUGAGACCAGCCUGUCCAACAUGGUGAAACCCCGUCUCUACCAAAAAUACAAAAAAUUAGCCAGAUGUGGUGGCGCGCGCAUAUAAUCCCAGCUCCUUGGGAGGCCAAGGCAGAAGAAUCGCUUGAACCUGGGAGGCGGAGGUUGCAGUGAGCCGAGAUUGCACCAUCGCACUCCAGCCUGGGGCACAAGAGUGAAACUCCGUCUCAAAAAAAAAAAAACGGUAUUAAAAUAUUAUUUAUCUUGUUUACUGAGAUUUUGGAUUUUGGCACCACACUGAAUUUGACCCUGAGGUAAGUGUCUUAUUCACCUCUUCUCAUCCUAGUCCUGACCUAAUAGCCCAUAUCACACUGUUACAAUUAAUUUCAGUAUAGCUGUCUCCCCCACCAACUUGUGAAGUUUAAGGACAGGAAUCCAUUUUUGUGUUCCUAGGACUUGGCACACAGUAGGUGCUUAGUAACUAUUGUCCAGUGAGGAAGUGGAUGAGCAGAUGGAUGAACCAAUCACCCAGUUUCUUUGCCCACAAAAUAAGACACACUGAUGAAAGUCAUCCUUGGCUAUUAACCAGGGACAGGUGUUAGUUUUUGAGUUUUAGCUCUUCCAGUUCAGCAAAGAUUACUCUGCCCCUGACCUAUGGAAGCCAGCUCCUGUGCUGGGCAUUUUGACCAGGGCUGAUCUGCAGACGCCUCCAGCCUGGGGAAACAAUGAAGGGAAAAUGAGUCUGGAAAGUGGAGACUCCACCAGGACCAGGGGUGAGAAGUCGCAGAGAGGCAGCCAUCCCUGAGCCCCCAGGCCUCAGAGCUCCUGCCUCUGGAUGAGUCCUAGGAGAUUUCCAUUUGGCAAGGGCAAUGGAAAGGAGAUCCAAGCACUAGAAACUUCAGGAUGGCUUCCAAGUGUCAAAUUUGAUGGGUCAGCUGCCGUCUGAGGAUACCAGGACUUGUUUCUGUGUGUGGUCACUGCCUCACUCUGAAGACCACCAAAAAAGAGAUUGUCUGGAGAUGUGGAAUCAUGGGCUUUGCAGACAUCUCACUGGACUCUGGUCUGCAUGGGCGUGGACGUUAAGAGGCUCUGUUUACAUAAGAUUGGCCGUGGCAUCUGUUUUUUAAGCACUUGAUAUCUGCCGGGUCUCCUGUAAAGAGCUUUGCACAUAUUAGCUCAUUGAUUACUCACAAAAUCCUCAGAUGUAGACAUUAUUCUGCUUCUUUUACAGAUGAGUAGCAGAGAAGCUGGCAACCUGCCCAAGGUCUCACAGCUGGUAACUAAUGGAACUGAAACACUAACCUAGAACCAUCUGAUUCUAGAGCCCAUGAUCUUAACCACUCUAUGCAAAGAAAAGGAAUUUCGAAGAUGGGCCCCUUUCCAGCACUAGUGCCUGUAAACACCAAAAAUAGAGGUGGGAUUUGGCAGAUGCAGUCAUUUUUGUCCUUCUCUGAGCUGGCCUUGUCCUCUGCUCUCCGAGCCUGUCCAUCACAGAAGCUCCCAGGGUCUCUCCCCCUACCACUCAUCCACUUCUCCAGCCAGUGUCCACAGGGGAGUUGAAUGUCUCUAAAGGGAAAUUCUUCCACUCAAAGACACUCAUCUCAUUUGGAGGAGUCAGGAGAGGAGAAGGAAGUGAAGAAGCAGUGAGCAUCUCUCAUCUGCCAAGCUCUAUGCACACAUUAGGGGUCCUUCUCAUCCCAGGACGAGGGGGCAGGUGUUUUUCUCAUCCUUAUAUUAAGGACUUGCAUUGUUCAAUAUAGUAGCCACUAGUCUCAUGUAGCUACUUAAAUUUCAAUUCC